RNAcentral lists this ribosomal RNA (429 nucleotides) under uncultured bacterium. RNAcentral describes it as "bacterial SSU rRNA". It matches the Rfam family "Bacterial small subunit ribosomal RNA", at positions 29 to 506 of the family's 1533-position model. The record is from RNAcentral.
ACGAACGCUGGCGGCAGGCUUAACACAUGCAAGUCGAGCGCCCCGCAAGGGGAGCGGCAGACGGGUGAGUAACGCGUGGGAAUCUACCCAUCUCUACGGAAUAGCUCCGGGAAACUGGAAUUAAUACCGUAUACGCCCUUUGGGGGAAAGAUUUAUCGGAGAUGGAUGAGCCCGCGUUGGAUUAGCUAGUUGGUGGGGUAAAGGCCUACCAAGGCGACGAUCCAUAGCUGGUCUGAGAGGAUGAUCAGCCACAUUGGGACUGAGACACGGCCCAAACUCCUACGGGAGGCAGCAGUGGGGAAUAUUGGACAAUGGGCGCAAGCCUGAUCCAGCCAUGCCGCGUGAGUGAUGAAGGCCUUAGGGUUGUAAAGCUCUUUCACCGGAGAAGAUAAUGACGGUAUCCGGAGAAGAAGCCCCGGCUAACUUCGU